This 22-nucleotide microRNA is filed under the name Bos taurus (domestic cattle). RNAcentral describes it as "bta-miR-12001". The record is from miRBase by way of RNAcentral. Lineage: Eukaryota; Metazoa; Chordata; Mammalia; Artiodactyla; Bovidae.
CCUGUGAGGGCUUCACCCUGGA